This 460-nucleotide ribosomal RNA is filed under the name uncultured bacterium. RNAcentral describes it as "partial 16S ribosomal RNA". It matches the Rfam family "Bacterial small subunit ribosomal RNA", at positions 338 to 795 of the family's 1533-position model. The record is from RNAcentral.
CCUACGGGGGGCAGCAGUGAGGAAUAUUGCACAAUGGGGGAAACCCUGAUGCAGCAACGCCGCGUGAGUGAUGAAGGUUCUAUGGAUUGUAAACCUCUUUUAUAAGGGAAUAAAGUGUGGGACGUGUCCUAUUUUGUAUGUACCUUAUGAAUAAGGAUCGGCUAACUCCGUGCCAGCAGCCGCGGUAAUACGGAGGAUCCGAGCGUUAUCCGGAUUUAUUGGGUUUAAAGGGUGCGUAGGCGGCUUUUUAAGUCAGCGGUGAAAUGUUGGGGCUCAACCAUAGAAUUGCCGUUGAAACUGGGGAGCUUGAGUGUGUUUGAGGCAGGCGGAAUGCGUGGUGUAGCGGUGAAAUGCUUAGAUAUCACGCAGAACCCCGAUUGCGAAGGCAGCCUGCCAAGCCAUGACUGACGCUGAUGCACGAAAGCGUGGGGAUCAAACAGGAUUAGAUACCCGGGUAGUC